Molecule: ribosomal RNA, 440 nt
Filed under: uncultured bacterium
Lineage: Bacteria
Description: partial 16S ribosomal RNA
Rfam family: Bacterial small subunit ribosomal RNA
Source: RNAcentral
CCUACGGUGUGCUGCAGUGGGGAAUAUUUCACAAUGGGGGAAACCCUGAUGCCGCGACGCCGCGUGAAGGAAGAAGUAUUUCGGUAUGUUAACUUUUAUCAGCAGGGAAGAAAAUGCAGGUACCUGACUAAGAAGCCGCGGCUAACUACGUGCCAGCAGCCGCGGGAAUACGUAGGGGGCAAGCGUUAUCCGGGUUUACUGGGCGUAAAGGGAGCGUAGGCGGCGUUGCAAGUCAGAAGUGAAAGCCCGGGGGUCAACUCCGGGACUGCUUUUGAAACUGGAUGGCUAGAUUGCAGGAGAGGCAAGUGGAAUUCCUAGUGUAGCGGUGAAAUGCGUAGAUAUUAGGAGGAACACCAGUGGCGAAGGCGGCUUGCUGGACUGUAAAUGACGCUGAGGCUCGAAAGCGUGGGGAGCAAACAGGAUUAGAUACCCCAGUAGUC